CUACGAUGGGGGCAAGCGUUGUUCGGAAUAACUGGGCGUAAAGCGCACGUAGGCGGAAUGUUAAGUUAGAGGUGAAAUCCCAGGGCUCAACCCUGGAACUGCCUUUAAUACUGGCAAUCUAGAGACCGAGAGAGGUGAGUGGAAUUCCGAGUGUAGAGGUGAAAUUCGUAGAUAUUCGGAGGAACACCAGUGGCGAAGGCGGCUCACUGGCUCGGUACUGACGCUGAGGUGCGAAAGCGUGGGGAGCAAACAGGAUUAGAAACCCUAGUAGUCC
Molecule: ribosomal RNA, 274 nt
Filed under: uncultured bacterium
Lineage: Bacteria
Description: partial 16S ribosomal RNA
Rfam family: Bacterial small subunit ribosomal RNA
Source: RNAcentral